AGUCGAGGGANACUAUUGGAUUCGUCUGAUGGGAAACCGGCGCACGGGUGCGUAACACGUAUGCAACCUACCUAUAACUGGGGUAUAGCUCAGAGAAAUCUGAAUUAAUCCCCCAUAAGAUUAUGUUCUGGCAUCAGGAAGUAGUUAAAGCUGAGGCGGUUAUAGAUGGGCAUGCGUUGCAUUAGCUAGUUGGUGAGGUAAUGGCUCACCAAGGCUACGAUGCAUAGGGGGUCUGAGAGGAUGAUCCCCCACACUGGUACUGAGACACGGACCAGACUCCUACGGGAGGCAGCAGUAGGGAAUAUUGGUCAAUGGACGCAAGUCUGAACCAGCCAUGCCGCGUGCAGGAAGACGGCCCUAUGGGUUGUAAACUGCUUUUAUAUGGGAAGAAACCCCCUGAUGCGUUAGGGGCUGACGGUACCAUAUGAAUAAGGAUCGGCUAACUUCGUGCCAGCAGCCGCGGUAAGACGAAGGAUCCAAGCGUUGUCCGGAUUUACUGGGUUUAAAGGGUGCGUAGGCGGGAAAUUAAGUCAGUGGUGAAAGCCCUCAGCUCAACUGAGGAACUGCCAUUGAAACUGAUUUUCUUGAAUAUGGUUGAGGUAGAUGGAAUAUAACAUGUAGCGGUGAAAUGCUUAGAUAUGUUAUAGAACACCGAUUGCGAAGGCAGUCUGCUAAGCCAUUAUUGACGCUGAGGCACGAAAGCGUGGGGAGCAAACAGGAUUAGAUACCCUGGUAGUCCACGCCCUAAACGUUGAUUACUCGCUGUUGGCGAUACACUGUCAGCGGCUAAGCGAAAGCGUUAAGUAAUCCACCUGGGAAGUACGUCCGCAAGGAUGAAACUCAAAGGAANUGACGGGGGCCCGCACAAGCGGAGGAGCAUGUGGUUUAAUUCGAUGAUACGCGAGAAACCUUACCUAGGCUUAAAUGU
This 928-nucleotide ribosomal RNA is filed under the name uncultured bacterium. RNAcentral's name for it is "bacterial SSU rRNA". It matches the Rfam family "Bacterial small subunit ribosomal RNA", at positions 60 to 988 of the family's 1533-position model. The record is from RNAcentral.